This is a long non-coding RNA of Triticum aestivum (bread wheat), 4456 nucleotides long. RefSeq lists it as uncharacterized. The transcript has 7 exons. The record is from RefSeq and is a predicted model, not a curated record. Lineage: Eukaryota; Viridiplantae; Streptophyta; Magnoliopsida; Poales; Poaceae.
CUAGGAAGUUCAGAGAUGGAACGUUCACGGUCUGUUAACUACAGAGAUGAUAAUCCUAAAAAAGUAAGUCCAUACUAGCAUGAUGAAAAGGUCCAAUUUUUUUAGCAUGAUGAAAAGAUCCAAGGACAGACCUCCCGUCGCACCAGAGAAAAUGGGCCGAAAAAGGUGCCGCUCGUCGGCGUGGCGGACCCGGCGACAGCUGACGGGUGUGGAGGGAGGUGGGGUAGAUCCAGUGCGUGUGCGUGCUCAACUGCUGAUGAACCGGCUGUAGCGCUCAAUCCCUGCCAAGGGCCAGCGUGGUCUCUGGAAGAGGUUUGGUCCGGGCAUGCAUGGUUGGUGAUUCCCAGGGUUGCCGGUCUUCAUCUCUGCUGUCCAAUGAUUCUUUUAUUACAGUUGAAGGCGCCUGUGAUUGGUGUGCAAGCCAGACCUGAGGGACGACCAACAGAACAUCCUUGAGAAGACGAUGGCACCCAUCAUGCAAUCGUUCCAUGGGAUUGUGACCUGCAUUGAGAUUUCAGUGCUUUGCACUUCGCCAGACUGAGAUCAAAAAGACCCCCAUUGUAUCAAUUUACAUUCGUAACACUUUAUUAUGUCAAUUUGUUGAUUGUUCACAAUGACACUGGAUAUUCUAACAGUUGCUCAGCCUCACGUAAUAUUCCAACAGUGCAUAUUUUUUGUAAUUUUGAUUGUUCGUUAGAGUUCUAGAUACUAUGCUCGAGUAGAGUAGGUUUACUAUAACAGAUUGUUUAGGAAUCACAGGUGCAGAAGGUAUUCUACCAUCCGCAGUGUGAGGGUUUUGAAGCAGAUAUUCAUUCUAUGUGACCACGACAGGGAUGGUAUGUAUUCUGUUUGUACUUGAGACUCUUAGAUUUCCAGUGGAGUUUUGGUUUCUCCUGCUGAGAUCGUACACUUGAUGUUUAUACUAUGCAUUCAAGCUAUUCCCACACCUAAGGUCUGUUAGUGUGGAAUCUUAUUUUCUUGUAGUGUGAUUACUAUAUGCACUUAUUUGCGUGCUUUCUCACUUUUAUUUGUAUAAUCGGCAUUCUGCAGAAAUAGGGCAACAAGAUUCAGGUAUAUGAUUUGAGGUUCGUAGUGGAGAAGAGCUGUGAGAAACUGCAGUUGCUUUCUUUUAUUGCAACGCAUGGACAAUUAUUUUUUCUUUUUGGCGAUCACAGGGAACAAAUACUACGGGGAUCAAGUCGGGGAUUCAUGGCAAGGGAUUGACAUUUUUUUAUCAAAGCAGUUUGCUACACACUGCAGUGUGACAGAAAAGGUGUGCUACUGUUUCCACAUCUCCUUUUGCGAAUCACUAAUGUUUUUCCCAAGUCUUUUCUUCCUUUUUGUAUUGACCCAGAAAUAGUUUCGGCAUUGGAGUCAGUUUCUUCGAUGUUUUCAUUGUUCUUAUCGGGAAGUGUGAAGUGAAAUUGUGGAAAUUUUCCCAAGUCCCAGGUUUGCAUAGGCCCUUAUUACUGGUGUGCUGGUAUGGGCACAUGAGGGGUGUGCUAUUGAUAUUUUUAUGUGAGAUAUUUGUUUCUCAUUUUAGCGGUCAUUCAAGUGUGAGUUAUGUGUAUCUGCAACAUGUAAUUGAGUGCCGGAACUUUCAUUAUACCUUAUCAAGGCCAUUUACAGGUUUACAUGAGCAUUUGGUUAGUAGCCUCAUGACCUCAUCUAUGAAUUAUCCGUUGAUCUAACUAUCUCUUAAUCUUUUUUCUCAGAUUUUAGUUACCCAUUGCUUACACAAUGAUAGUAAGACCAAUUGCAGGGAUGUGUUGAUCUUGGUCUUGUUCUGUAUGGAGGUAGGGUACAGUUGAUGUUUCAUGUUUGGUGAAAGAAAAGGAGCUUCCUAUGUUGAUUUCGGGCAAGAUAUACAUUCUGCCAUGCAUUAGUAGAUCAAUUGCUUCUCUGUGUAGGGGAACGAUUAGUGAUUGAAUCUCUCGGUCACGUUUCUUGAUCAUCCAAUUAAUUUACCCCCAUCUAUGCAUAAAUUGGUCUGAUUGAGUUAUGCCAUUUUUUAUGUAAUAAUCUAUAUUGGUCCUAUAUAUGACUAGAACAAUAUGAUACGAUGCACAUCGGUCCGCUUUACUGGCAUCUAUCUUUCAAGGUGAAGGAGGGGAGGCACUCGUGUGGAGCUGCUCAAUGUUCAAGGAGAUACGGCUGAUUAAACCAGGUUAUUUUAAAGUUUUUACCGGUUCAUGUUAGCUAUCUAUCAGUAAUAGUACAACCUUGAUUUUUAUGUGGUUCAUGUUUACCUAACCAUCAGUAACAUUACUUUCUAUUGGAGACUUUUUACAGGAGGUGCUUAUAAAAUGAUAGUUGAACAAGUAUAGAUUUUGGAUCGCGAUCAUCUAUUUACCAGGCAUCGAUCAAAAUCUAGCAUUCUUUGUUAUGUGCCGCAUGGAAAAGAUAGAUAUUGUCUGAUAUAUCCGAUAGCGCAAUAUAAUUUUCUCUUGCAUAUUUAUAAUCUGCCAUUUGAAUCAUGUUUUAUGUGUUGUAGUCCAAUCAAGACAAUUUGCAACUUUGGUGUUGUGACGUUGGAGGCCGUGCUCAGCGGCAAUGGGGGACUGUUGUAGAUGCCUGACCUGAGAUGUCGGCGAAGGAACGAGAGUCAACGAGGAGUGCACGCCAUGGGUUCGUGAACUGGCCAAGCCACCGUUGUUCGUUUGGUAAUGUCCGACGCAUCAGAGGCAUAGUAUGACUUGCGCCGAUUUUGACGUCAUCUACCAACAUCCGACGAAGGGGAACCAGUCCGGUUUCCAUCUUGAUGGUAAGUUCUCUAAUCUUCUAUCUCAUGGGAUGUGAUGUGGUUGCUUUCAUUAUGGCUUUUGACAAAGAGUUGAAAUUAGCUUAUGUGCUUCACACAAUUGAAAUUCCAGUGAUAUUAUCAACCUUCAGUGAGCAGUGACAAUGAACUCCAUCUCCCCACACCACCACACCCAAAUAGCGUAGGAUAGACUGAUGUUUCAUGUGAUGUCCUUUAAGCUAUGUUUCAGCUUGUCUCGACCCAGCAUGUAUUUUUAGUUUCAGUUGUUGAGCUCUGCACUACAAAACCGAGAAAGACCCAAGGCUUUUUACAGUGGGAUCAUUUCUACAGACUACAAAUAGAGGGAAGUUGUCUUGUGCCUUACUAGAGACAGAUGAACCAAUAAAAUGAUUGGAAAGGCUCUUUCCAAUAAAAUGAUCUUGUACAGUUUAUUUCUUAAUAUAUUUUGGUCAGUAUGUUGUUUAUUUUCUGAAAAUGAUACUCCAUUGUAGAUUACCUAUGAUGAAAAUUACAUUCUCUGCGGGCGCUGAUUUAGAUAUAUUACUAUGGGCAAAGGAAGUUCAAAAUUUAUCUCAGUCAAACAUGUGCAAAGGAAAUUCAAAAUAUGUUAUAUUAGGGAAGAUUCUUAAAUCAGUCAAGUAUCUAGAGGGUUGAUUAGGACACUCCUCAUAAUGUUUGGUACUUUACCAUUUGGGAUUAGGCCAUUGGUGAACAUGACAAUGCGGCUGUUGGUCACGGAUGCCGGGGGCAUGGGCAGGGUUGAGGAGCUCACACAGUGCUAUAUGUGACAACCUGCGACUGGUGGCUGGAGGUGGUGUGCCUGCUGCUUGGUUGGAAGUCCGACAUAAACUCCCACGACCGACUGGUAAGCAUGGAGAUGGAGCCCGCCGCCUCAUCGAUGUGGGAGCUGCAUUGCACGUACAGGGCACGACGGCUCAUGGAUGCUGGAGCUGUAGUGCACUGUUUAGGAGUUCAAAAGCAUGAAGGAGGAGAUUACCUACAAGUGUUUAAGAUCACGCAGGAGGAUGUCAAAGUUUUCCAUUGUCCGGCACUUGUGAGCAAGCAGUAUAUGGACUUCACUCUGAUUCUAAAGAAAAAGUUGUGAAGACCUUCCAGCAUUACCCAAGGAAGCUAACACACCAACUUGUGCCAUACGUGGUAUUUUCUUGUUGAUGAAUGUUGGUGUAGUGGGGCGGGGGUGAGGAGUUGGAGAGAGAGGUGGGCGUGUGCAUGAGUGUAGUGCGUCUGGAUGAUGGGAUGCACGAUGGAGUGAUCGGUGUGGUGGCCAGCGGUGCCUGUGCUAUUGAUGUUCGAUUUGAGGGGAAGAAGAAAGAUUGGCUGCUGAUUUUGGGAGGAAGAAGAGAGAUUAAGCGUGUUGUUGUUGUUGUCAUGUGUGGCCUUGGGAGAGGAAUAAAAGAGAGUAGUAAAGAGUUGUAGAGAGAUAGCGAAGGAUUGAGAGGCUACUGCUAUUUGUAUUGCAGUUGAUGCUUGCACAAUGCUAUUGCUUAUGAUACUGGGGUAUUCAUCUUUGGGAUAAAAACAAUCAUUUCCCCCCUUCCAUAUUGUAGUCAUGACUUAGUUUUACUAACUAACCUCUCUAUAAUUAUUUUUGGAUUAUAUUUAGCUUUUUUGAAGUUGUAAAGAAUAGUUUUGACCUUUGUGGGUAGUCAAGCAAAUUCUGGUUCUUGGUUGAAA